This is a long non-coding RNA of Manis javanica (Malayan pangolin), 1519 nucleotides long. RefSeq lists it as uncharacterized. Lineage: Eukaryota; Metazoa; Chordata; Mammalia; Pholidota; Manidae. The record is from RefSeq and is a predicted model, not a curated record.
GCAGGAAAUGUGACAUGUCAUGGAAGCCAUUGGAGCCACUGAAGUCCAAGCAGGUAUGUGAUAUGAUCAGGUAUGAAUAUUUUUAAUACUUAAAUUUAGAAAAUUUGGAACAAUAGAAAAAGAAAAUUAAUUACUCAUAAUCAUACAUUUUCUAAUGUAUGUAAAGAAGCAGCUCAAACUCCUUCCCCCUCCUGUUCUUCUCAUUUCAUCCACCACCGGUCCCCAUGGAGCUCCCCUACCCAGACGCCACUACUCACCUCUCUUCCAGCCUCUCCCACCAAACUCAGCCGCUAUUAACAGGUUCCUUCUGGAAAUGUGGAGCCCCUGUCUCCCCAGUUGACUGCUCAAACAGAUCCCGUCUCAGGGCUGACAGCCCGAAGACUCCCCAGCCCCAGGCAGUAGAUUCCGGUCACUCCUGACUGUCCCGGCAGGAUGGAGCAGAAGAAGGAGGGGCCAGCGCGAGGGACCCGGCCCAGCACCCCCGUGCAUGGCCCAUGUCUCUGGGCUUCCUGUCCUGUGCAGCUGAGAGCUGCCCCAGAGACCGGUGCUGUGCCAGAGGCUGGCCGCCUGCCGGAGAUGGAGGCAAACAAAGAAGAGUGGGAAUAAGAGGCACAGGUGAUGCUGGGCAUACAGAAAGUCCUGCAGAGGUUAGGAGAGGCAAAGGAAAAGCUCAGGCAAGCAGUUGACUGGCCACGGGUGCAGGAGGAGGAGACGUGACCGUGGCAGAGCAGGCAUCAGAGCCCACACAUCUGGAACUGUCCUAGGAGACUCCAGAAAUCACCCUGCAGAUUGCUUCUCAUCUUCCUGACAUGGAAGCUUCAGACAAUCCCUUCCAAGUUUCCUUCUUCUAUCAGAGUGCUGAGAACACACUGUUCACCGGUAGAGUCUUUGGCAUGUGUGGGGAGCUCUCUUCUGCUGCUGACCUGCUGCCUGGCCCACCACUGCUGCCGAGGGCCUCUACCAAGACUCCAAUGCUGCCUUUCUGAGGUCAUUUUACAAGGCCUAUUUCAGGGAAGCAUUUUCUAUCACACUGCAAAUGUCAGCAGCUGCCCAGGACAGGAGGCCUGACCAAAGCGUGAGCACCACACUGCUGGGAGAGCAGUGCAUCUCUGCAAGAGAACAAGGCCUUUGUGGCUCCUUGAAAGGGAGUGUGAGUCUCACUUGAAGCCAGAAUCACCAGAAGAGUAUAUUAAGGAAAGCAAAGAUCUCCUCUUCACUAAUAUGGAACGUUUCCUGAAAAGCAUCCUCACCACAGAGCAAUAAAUCCCAGGAAAACCAAGAGAUCAGCUUGGGGGUGAAGAUAAGAUCUAGAAAGAAAAUGGUGAUUUCAUUUCAGUCUGCAUGAUUAAAAGUCCAAGAAAUUGUACAUGUGACCAACACCAACAGAGAAAGUCACUAACUGAAAUUCAAAAUAACAUCAUUAUGGAAUAGUACAUACAGUCUUUUCAGACUAGGAAAAAAUAAAGUGCAUAGAAGAACUGGGAUACGCUUUACCUGGUAAACACUCUUUGGGUUGCUG